Molecule: ribosomal RNA, 740 nt
Filed under: Allomuricauda sp. M77
Lineage: Bacteria; Pseudomonadati; Bacteroidota; Flavobacteriia; Flavobacteriales; Flavobacteriaceae
Description: bacterial SSU rRNA
Rfam family: Bacterial small subunit ribosomal RNA
Source: RNAcentral
AUGCCGCGUGCAGGAUGACGGCCCUAUGGGUUGUAAACUGCUUUUAUACGGGAAGAAAUGCGCCCACGUGUGGGCGUCUGACGGUACCGUAAGAAUAAGGACCGGCUAACUCCGUGCCAGCAGCCGCGGUAAUACGGAGGGUCCGAGCGUUAUCCGGAAUCAUUGGGUUUAAAGGGUCCGUAGGCGGGCCUGUAAGUCAGGGGUGAAAGUUUGUGGCUCAACCAUAAAAUUGCCUUUGAUACUGCAGGUCUUGAGUCAUGGUGGGGUCGCCGGAACAUGUGGUGUAGCGGUGAAAUGCAUAGAUAUCACAUAGAACACCGAUCGCGAAGGCAGGUGGCCAACCAUGUACUGACGCUGAUGGACGAAAGCGUGGGUAGCGAACGGGAUUAGAUACCCCGGUAGUCCACGCCGUAAACGAUGGAUACUAGCUGUGGGGACUUCGGUCUCCGUGGCCAAGCGAAAGUGAUAAGUAUCCCACCUGGGGAGUACGUUCGCAAGAAUGAAACUCAAAGGAAUUGACGGGGGCCCGCACAAGCGGUGGAGCAUGUGGUUUAAUUCGAUGAUACGCGAGGAACCUUACCAGGGCUUAAAUGCAGGCUGCAUGGGGUAGAGAUACCCCUUUCUUCGGACCGCCUGCAAGGUGCUGCAUGGUUGUCGUCAGCUCGUGCCGUGAGGUGUCAGGUUAAGUCCUAUAACGAGCGCAACCCCUACCGUUAGUUGCCAGCAUGUCAAGAUGGGGA